Molecule: non-coding RNA, 22 nt
Filed under: Mus musculus (house mouse)
Lineage: Eukaryota; Metazoa; Chordata; Mammalia; Rodentia; Muridae
Source: RNAcentral
UAGAUGGAGCAUGUCAGGGUGG